GGGAACGUGACCAUCCACCUCCUUUCUCCUUCGAUUUCCAUCGCCUUUUUUGCUAAGACGUGGGCCGCAUUGUUCUUCUCCCUACAGAUGUGGUUAAUUGCUAUGACAUUCUUCUCUUCCACCAACUUGGAUACUUCUUCCACCAGCCAACAAAUCUCAGUUAGGUUAGUAUCUUUCUUGAUGAGACGAAGUGCUUCCAAAGAAUCAGAUUCCAAGUAAAGAGGCCAGCAAGUGUUCAUGUCAAUUGAAUGAAGACCUUAAAUCGCCAUUAAUUCAAGAAAUUUUAUUGAUCUGUUAGCUCUUGUUUCACAACAUCUUGCAAGAAUCGCUUCACCUCUCCAAUUUCGCACGAUCCAACCCAAGCCUUCAACACUAUGAUGUUCAUUCCAGGCAGCAUCAGUGUUGAUUUUCCAGAAAUUCGUAGGCGGAGGACUCCAGCCAGUGAUUAUUCUGUUUCUUUCCUCAUUUGAUUCAAUGCGGAUCUGGAAAGGUAUUGAAAUUGAGCAAAAAACAAUUGGAAUGAAAUGAAGUAAAAUCCGGCGACCGAUUUAGUAGAAUACUUUAAGGAGUAAAUUAGGAGAUUGAUUGUGAGAAUAA
This is a non-coding RNA of Momordica charantia (bitter melon), 597 nucleotides long. Lineage: Eukaryota; Viridiplantae; Streptophyta; Magnoliopsida; Cucurbitales; Cucurbitaceae. The record is from RefSeq and is a predicted model, not a curated record.